Molecule: ribosomal RNA, 254 nt
Filed under: uncultured bacterium
Lineage: Bacteria
Description: partial 16S ribosomal RNA
Rfam family: Bacterial small subunit ribosomal RNA
Source: RNAcentral
UACGGGGGGAGCAAGCGUUGUUCGGAUUUACUGGGCGUAAAGGGCGCGUAGGCGGUCGUGACAAGUCACUUGUGAAAUCUCCGGGCUUAACUCGGAACGGUCAAGUGAUACUGUCGGACUAGAGUACAGAAGGGGCAACUGGAAUUCUCGGUGUAGCGGUGAAAUGCGUAGAUAUCAGGAGGAACACCGGUGGCGAAGGCGGUUCUCUGGGCCUGUACUGACGCUGAGGAACGAAAGCGUGGGGAGCGAACAGG